RNAcentral lists this ribosomal RNA (388 nucleotides) under uncultured bacterium. RNAcentral describes it as "bacterial SSU rRNA". It matches the Rfam family "Bacterial small subunit ribosomal RNA", at positions 28 to 416 of the family's 1533-position model. The record is from RNAcentral.
GACGAACGCUGGCGGCGUGCUUAACACAUGCAAGUCGAGCGGUAAGGCCCUUUCGGGGGUACGACGAGCGGCGAACGGGUGAGUAACACGUGGGUGACCUGCCCUUACGCUCUGGGAUAAGCCUGGGAAACUGGGUCUAAUACCGGAUAUGACUCCAUGACGCAUGUUGUGGGGUGGAAAGCCUUGUGCGGCUAGGGAUGGGCCUGCGGCCUAUCAGCUUGUUGGUGGGGUGAUGGCCUACCAAGGCGACGACGGGUAGCCGGCCUGAGAGGGCGACCGGCCACACUGGGACUGAGACACGGCCCAGACUCCUACGGGAGGCAGCAGUGGGGAAUCUUGCGCAAUGGGCGAAAGCCUGACGCAGCGACGCCGCGUGGGGAUGACGGCC